CUGUGUACAUAUCAAUAGUUUGUUUUUGGUUGCUGAGUAAUAGUCCAUGUAUGCGGGACACCUAGUCAGUGUCGACUGAGAAUUGGAGAAUCUCUUGGUGGUGUAGAAAAAAAUACGUCAUGGAGUUGUGUUCACCAGUGCUCAACUACCAUCCUUGGAAGCCCUGCCACUCAACUUAUUUCCGUUAUUCCAUAAACAUUCAAGUGCCCACCAUGAGCCAAGAACUUUUCUAUGCACUAGAGCGACAAGAGCAUUCACACUCCCCCCGCGGAGCUCACAGCCUGCAGAAGGAGCCAGCCGGGAAGCAGAAGACACGGCAUGGCGUCAUAAACCUAUGACAGAGCCUGUCCUGGUGGCACUGUGGGAAGCAUGACCCGGAUGUGGGGCAGGCAAAUGGCUCUCAGGGACGCUUCCCAAAGGAACACUCCAAAUAUCUUGCUAUUGAUCAAUUGUCACAAGAUUGGCAAAUCAUUUUUCACGUCAUUUCAAGACUCUUUUAAUAACAGUCCCAAAUGCCAAAGUGCCUUUACCAAUUCACAUUAUCAUCACCCUGGAAAGAUCGUCUCUCCCCACAGUUUUCAGGCAGCAGAGAUGUACAGACCCAGAAGUGGAGAGGUAACCUCAGUCGUUUCACAGCACGCUUGCAGACCAGAAAGCAAAGCUUCGGAAUUCUGGACGCACGUUUAAGUGAUGUUACUGCAGACCCUGACGCCAUUCACAUUGGUGAGAUAUUGAGAUUUCCACAGGUGACUUUGUGGACACACGGGGCACUCCAGCCAUGAGGACUUGGGCUGUUGUGUUCGUAUCAGCAGAAGCGGUCUGAGUUCCACCUCUGAAGGACAACAUGAAGGUUACUGACCAUCGUAUCAUGGCAUCUAGAGUUCUACCGUUCAGGAAGCCUCCGUGGACGUCAAAGACUUGUAGGCUUCCGAGAGUCCCCUCUAAAUGACGGAUGCCAUUGCCCUCCGUGAUGAGCCCUCACGUGGCUCGCUGCCUGGAAAGGAGUGGAUAGAGACCUCACGGCUGCGCUGGGCCGCAGGAGAGAGGUGGGGCAGGAGAAGGAGACGGAGCCCAAGACCAGCUUCCUGUUUCACACGCUUUCCAGGUUUGGCCUUAAGUACUGGCUGGAGGGGCAGACACCCAGCCCCACUCCACCAUGCCACGCACCUGACGGCAACACUCCAAUCACCCCUAAGGCUCAGAGAGCAGACACAGUCCCUGGGCCCUCCUGGGCCUUGGCUGCUACCAGCCUCAGAGCAGCCAGAAGCAAACCUGCCAGGCAGUCUCAGCUUGCUUUACUGAGGAGGUUCAUGCUGAACAGAAAAAGCGUCAAUAACAACUGUGUUUGAGCCCCUGUUAUAUUCCUGGCCCGACCACAGGGUCUAUGACGUCACCACUUCUGGACAUCCAAAGCCACCAUUUUAAGCAUCCGAGACUUGAUGGUGUGCCCCUGGCAUACAGCUUGG
RNAcentral lists this long non-coding RNA (1466 nucleotides) under Equus asinus (donkey). Its description in RNAcentral is "lncRNA (ENSEASG00005030706.1)". The record is from RNAcentral. Lineage: Eukaryota; Metazoa; Chordata; Mammalia; Perissodactyla; Equidae.